GACGGAGGGGGCUAGCGUUGUUCGGAAUUACUGGGCGUAAAGCGUGCGUAGGCGGCCUUUCAAGUUGGGUGUGAAAGCCCGGGGCUCAACCCCGGAAAUGCGCCCAAGACUGUUUGGCUAGAGUCUCGGAGAGGUGAGUGGAACUCCCAGUGUAGAGGUGAAAUUCGUAGAUAUUGGGAAGAACACCAGUGGCGAAGGCGGCUCACUGGACGAGUACUGACGCUGAGGCACGAAGGCCAGGGGAGCAAACGGG
This 253-nucleotide ribosomal RNA is filed under the name uncultured bacterium. RNAcentral's name for it is "partial 16S ribosomal RNA". It matches the Rfam family "Bacterial small subunit ribosomal RNA", at positions 524 to 776 of the family's 1533-position model. The record is from RNAcentral.